This 313-nucleotide long non-coding RNA is filed under the name Homo sapiens (human). Its description in RNAcentral is "novel transcript". The record is from RNAcentral. Lineage: Eukaryota; Metazoa; Chordata; Mammalia; Primates; Hominidae.
GGAAUGCGGUCGGAGCGUGGGCGCACGGGCCGCGCGCUCCGUGAGUAGGGGGCCUCUCCCGCGGCGCCUGAGAGCCGGGUCCGCGCGCAGAGGCCCUGGGGGCGCGCGUGCCGGGUGCGCGCUGGCCAGCUGUGACUGCCGCUGAGGGAGCUGCGCGGCGCCUCUGGGAGCCGAGCGCCGGGCGCCUGGAGGGCAGGUCGGGCCUCUUGCCGCUAAGGUCAGCGGCUGCGGUUUGAGAAGACUGCAGCUGCUUCCUGUGUUACGCUGUCGCAGACAAGCAGAAGUUAAAAACUAGUAAAUGACUUAAAGGUGA